UACAGAGGUCUCAAGCGUUGUUCGGAUUCAUUGGGCGUAAAGGGUGCGUAGGUGGCGUCGUAAGUCGGGUGUGAAAUUUCGGAGCUCAACUCCGAAACUGCAUUCGAUACUGCGGUGCUUGAGGACUGGAGAGGAGACUGGAAUUUACGGUGUAGCAGUGAAAUGCGUAGAUAUCGUAAGGAAGACCAGUGGCGAAGGCGAAUCUCUGGACAGUUACUGACACUGAGGCACGAAGGCCAGGGGAGCAAACGGG
RNAcentral lists this ribosomal RNA (253 nucleotides) under uncultured bacterium. Its description in RNAcentral is "partial 16S ribosomal RNA". It matches the Rfam family "Bacterial small subunit ribosomal RNA", at positions 524 to 776 of the family's 1533-position model. The record is from RNAcentral.